This 237-nucleotide ribosomal RNA is filed under the name uncultured Actinomycetales bacterium. RNAcentral describes it as "partial 16S ribosomal RNA". It matches the Rfam family "Bacterial small subunit ribosomal RNA", at positions 96 to 334 of the family's 1533-position model. Lineage: Bacteria; Bacillati; Actinomycetota; Actinomycetes; Actinomycetales. The record is from RNAcentral.
UGGCGAACGGGUGAGUAACACGUGAGUAACCUGCCCACAACUUUGGGAUAACGCUAGGAAACUGGUGCUAAUACUGGAUAUGUGCUCCUGCUGCAUGGUGGGGGUUGGAAAGCUCCGGCGGUUGGGGAUGGACUCGCGGCUUAUCAGCUUGUUGGUGGGGUAGUGGCUUACCAAGGCUUUGACGGGUAGCCGGCCUGAGAGGGUGACCGGCCACAUUGGGACUGAGAUACGGCCCAG